UACGGAGGGUGCGAGCGUUGUCCGGAAUCAUUGGGCGUAAAGGGCGCGUAGGUGGCCCGGUCAGUUCGUGGUGAAAGCGCGGGGCUCAACCCUGCGUCGGCCAUGAAUACUGCCGCGGCUGGAGCACUGUAGAGGCAGGCGGAAUUCCGGGUGUAGCGGUGAAAUGCGCAGAUAUCGGGAGGAACACCAAUGGCGAAGGCAGCUCGCUGGGACGGUACUGACGCUGAGGCGCGAAAGCGUGGUGAGCAAACAGG
RNAcentral lists this ribosomal RNA (254 nucleotides) under uncultured bacterium. RNAcentral's name for it is "partial 16S ribosomal RNA". It matches the Rfam family "Bacterial small subunit ribosomal RNA", at positions 524 to 776 of the family's 1533-position model. The record is from RNAcentral.